Molecule: transfer RNA, 78 nt
Filed under: Pseudomonadota bacterium
Lineage: Bacteria; Pseudomonadati; Pseudomonadota
Also listed under: 1 other name
Description: Proteobacteria bacterium (sediment metagenome) tRNA-Pro
Rfam family: tRNA
About the family: Transfer RNA (tRNA) molecules are approximately 80 nucleotides in length. Their secondary structure includes four short double-helical elements and three loops (D, anti-codon, and T loops).
Source: RNAcentral
CGGGGAGUAGCGCAGUCUGGUUAGCGCGCAUGCUUCGGGAGCAUGAAGUCGGGGGUUCAAAUCCCCCCUUCCCGACCA